CCUUCCUCCAUCACUGCUUCUCCGGCAUCUCCUACGACCAGCGACAUCAAGCUCUCCUUGCACGUUCGCGCCGCUCUAGCGACGCCUGUCGACGGGCCCCCCUCGCCUUCAAGCUGCCUUACACACUCCACAGCGCGCAGCUAGGCUUGGGGGACAUCCUAAACCCUAAACAGGUGAUGGAUGAAGCUCCCGCAGACACACUCCCCCGAGUGAUUACGUGUUGGAGACGCUCCCCGAACCUCGGUUCGUUCCUGGUCAGGGCCAAGCUCCCUCCGCGAGCUUAGCCACGUCUUGUACCACACUUUGCAAGACACGGAAGCAUAUGUUUGCAUCCCUCUCCGCAUACCCUAUGACUCCCAGGGUCUGGCCGAUGGACUUCAGGUAUGUCCCAAGUCACUCCAGGCCACCCCCCUUUCGAGUCAACGCCAGGUCAACGCGGAGUCAACGGUCAGAACGGAAUAUUCCCCAAUAUUCCGACUGUAUCCCUGUUGACCGAGUCAAAACGGCAUAUACCGUUGGAUUCCGCUCUUCCUUCCGAUCGUGAAUAUGUGAGUUUCAACUCUGAACUCCACACAUGACUCGUGGAAAAGCGUGUAUUCCGUUAAAACGGUGCCGCUCCCUCGACAUCGGCGACACACGCCGACAGCUCGCGGGAUGGCUCUCCCCGACACAACCGCUGGACUCCGAGUAUGUAUGAGUGACCUCAGGCCCUCCACCACCACAGUCCACACACGGUCAACGCGGGGUCAACGGUCAACGACGGAAUAUUCCGAGAAUAUUCCCUGCAAAGUGAACCACGUUUUUUCGUCGCCGGGUACGUACAAGUGAUACAAGCAUUGUGGACGUAAUGCAUGCAUCAUAUCAUGCCGCGUUCACAAGUUAUCUCGCGUCAAAGGUACAUCACCCGCCGGACGAACGCUUACUGUCUUCGGCGAUCCGCCGAAGUCAUUCUCCGCGACUACCACUGCUGUGGAGUAACCAACACCAGCUGUGCUACGUUCGCACCCUUGCGAGCCAACGCUGCCACGCCACUUCGCAUGGCCGCCACACGGACUCGCGCCACGUGACAGAGCCAAAAUAUAAGUAGAGUCGGCACCGAGCUAGGGUUAAGGUAGACACUAGAUGACUACACUCGACUCGUCCACGUUCCAGAAGCCCCUCAAUGCCUACCAGUACCUCCCCUGGACGUCGGUUCACCCACGGCACCAGAAGGUGGCAUUCAUCCGCAGCGAGCUCCGGAGAUACCUCCUCCGCGAGAGCACGGCCGAUGGAUUCCACACCAUGCGCACGCGGUUCUACCACCACCUCCGUGCCCGGGGAUACCCGCCCUCCUUCCUCCAUCACUGCUUCUCCGGCAUCUCCUACGACCAGCGACAUCAAGCUCUCCUUGCACGUUCGCGCCGCUCUAGCGACGCCUGUCGACGGGCCCCCCUCGCCUUCAAGCUGCCUUACACACUCCACAGCGCGCAGCUAGGCUUGGGGGACAUCCUAAACCCUAAACAGGUGAUGGAUGAAGCUCCCGCAGACACACUCCCCCGAGUGAUUACGUGUUGGAGACGCUCCCCGAACCUCGGUUCGUUCCUGGUCAGGGCCAAGCUCCCUCCGCGAGCUUAGCCACGUCUUGUACCACACUUUGCAAGACACGGAAGCAUAUG
This 1655-nucleotide long non-coding RNA is filed under the name Selaginella moellendorffii. RNAcentral's name for it is "long non-coding RNA (SMOE_LNC002392)". Lineage: Eukaryota; Viridiplantae; Streptophyta; Lycopodiopsida; Selaginellales; Selaginellaceae. The record is from RNAcentral.